RNAcentral lists this ribosomal RNA (560 nucleotides) under uncultured archaeon. RNAcentral's name for it is "bacterial SSU rRNA". It matches the Rfam family "Archaeal small subunit ribosomal RNA", at positions 333 to 897 of the family's 1478-position model. The record is from RNAcentral.
CAGCAGGCGCGAAAACUUUACAAUGCCGGCAACGGCGAUAAGGGAACCUCGAGUGCCAGGUUACAAAUCUGGCUGUCGUGAUGCCUAAAAAGCAUUGCAUAGCAAGGGCCGGGCAAGACCGGUGCCAGCCGCCGCGGUAACACCGGCGGCUCGAGUGGUAACCGUUAUUAUUGGGUCUAAAGGGUCUGUAGCCGGCCGGGUAAGUCUCUUGGGAAAUCUGGCAGCUUAACUGUCAGGCUUUCAGGAGAUACUGCCUGGCUCGAGGCCGGGAGAGGUGAGAGGUACUUCAGGGGUAGGGGUGAAAUCUUGUAAUCCUUGAAGGACCACCAGUGGCGAAGGCGUCUCACCAGAACGGACCUGACGGCAAGGGACGAAAGCUAGGGGCACGAACCGGAUUAGAUACCCGGGUAGUCCUAGCCGUAAACGAUACUCGCUAGGUGUCGGCCACGGUGCGACCGUGGUCGGUGCCGUAGGGAAGCCGUGAAGCGAGCCACCUGGGAAGUACGGCCGCAAGGCUGAAACUUAAAGGAAUUGGCGGGGGAGCACAAGGGCGAUUCGCG